AAGCGGAGGAGCAUGUGGUUUAAUUUCGAUGAUACGCGAGGAACCUUACCUGGGCUUAAAUGCUUAAUGACGUACUGGGAAACUGGUAUUUCUUCGGACAUUUUGCAAGGUGCUGCAUGGUUGUCGUCAGCUCGUGCCGUGAGGUGUCGGGUUAAGUCCCAUAACGAGCGCAACCCCUAUUGUUAGUUGCCAUCAGGUCAUGCUGGGGACUCUAACAAAACUGCCCGCGUAAGCGUGGAGGAAGGUGGGGAUGACGUCAAAUCAGCACGGCCCUUACGUCCAGGGCUACACACGUGCUACAAUGGCCGGUACAGAGGGCAGCCACUUGGUGACAAGGAGCAAAUCUCAAAAGCCGGUCUCAGUUCGGAUCGGAGUCUGCAACUCGACUCCGUGAAGUUGGAUUCGCUAGUAAUCGUAGAUCAGCAAUGCUACGGUGAAUACGUUCCCGGGCCUU
RNAcentral lists this ribosomal RNA (454 nucleotides) under uncultured Bacteroidota bacterium. RNAcentral describes it as "bacterial SSU rRNA". It matches the Rfam family "Bacterial small subunit ribosomal RNA", at positions 927 to 1382 of the family's 1533-position model. The record is from RNAcentral. Lineage: Bacteria; Pseudomonadati; Bacteroidota.